This 757-nucleotide ribosomal RNA is filed under the name uncultured bacterium. RNAcentral describes it as "bacterial SSU rRNA". It matches the Rfam family "Bacterial small subunit ribosomal RNA", at positions 59 to 803 of the family's 1533-position model. The record is from RNAcentral.
CAGUCGAGGGGCAGCAUGGUCUUAGCUUGCUAAGGCUGAUGGCGACCGGCGCACCGGUGAGUAACACGUAUCCAACCUGCCGUCUACUCUUGGCCAGCCUUCUGAAAGGAAGAUUAAUCCAGGAUGGCAUCAUGAGUUCACAUGUCCGCAUGAUUAAAGGUAUUUUCCGGUAGACGAUGGGGAUGCGUUCCAUUAGAUAGUAGGCGGGGUAACGGCCCACCUAGUCAACGAUGGAUAGGGGUUCUGAGAGGAAGGUCCCCCACAUUGGAACUGAGACACGGUCCAAACUCCUACGGGAGGCAGCAGUGAGGAAUAUUGGUCAAUGGGCGAUGGCCUGAACCAGCCAAGUAGCGUGAAGGAUGACUGCCCUAUGGGUUGUAAACUUCUUUUAUAAAGGAAUAAAGUCGGGUAUGCAUACCCGUUUGCAUGUACUUUAUGAAUAAGGAUCGGCUAACUCCGUGCCAGCAGCCGCGGUAAUACGGAGGAUCCGAGCGUUAUCCGGAUUUAUUGGGUUUAAAGGGAGCGUAGAUGGAUGUUUAAGUCAGUUGUGAAAGUUUGCGGCUCAACCGUAAAAUUGCAGUUGAUACUGGAUGUCUUGAGUGCAGUUGAGGCAGGCGGAAUUCGUGGUGUAGCGGUGAAAUGCUUAGAUAUCACGAAGAACUCCGAUUGCGAAGGCAGCCUGCUAAGCUGCAACUGACAUUGAGGCUCGAAAGUGUGGGUAUCAAACAGGAUUAGAUACCCUGGUAGUCCACACGGU